AACGCGAAGAACCUUACCUGGGCUCGAAAUGUAGUGGAAUCCGGCAGAAACGUCGGCGUCUAGCAAUAGACCGCUAUAUAGGUGCUGCAUGGCUGUCGUCAGCUCGUGUCGUGAGAUGUUGGGUUAAGUCCCGCAACGAGCGCAACCCUUAUCUUCAGUUGCUACCAUUUAGUUGAGCACUCUGACGAAACCGCCUCGGAUAACGGGGAGGAAGGUGGGGAUGACGUCAAGUCAUCAUGCCCUUUAUGCCUUGGGCUACACACGUGUUACAAUGGCUAGGACAAUGUGAUGCAAGACCGCAAGGUGGAGCGAAUCACCAAACCUAGUCUCAGUUCGGAUCGCAGGCUGCAACUCGCCUGCGUGAAGUCGGAAUCGCUAGUAACUGCCGAUCAGCACGCGGCAGUGAAUACGUUCCCGGGCCUUGUACACACCGACAUA
RNAcentral lists this ribosomal RNA (438 nucleotides) under uncultured bacterium. RNAcentral describes it as "bacterial SSU rRNA". It matches the Rfam family "Bacterial small subunit ribosomal RNA", at positions 958 to 1397 of the family's 1533-position model. The record is from RNAcentral.